UAACCCUCAAGCCUAGCUUGGUGUUGGAGCCUGUCUCUGGACAGCUCUUAAAAUCAGUGGCGGUGCCUUCUGGUUCUAAGCGUAGUAACUUUUCUCGCUAUAGAGUCCUGGAGGUGUCUAGCCAGAACCCCUAAUUUUCUAU
Molecule: unclassified non-coding RNA, 142 nt
Filed under: uncultured Cistella
Lineage: Eukaryota; Fungi; Ascomycota; Leotiomycetes; Helotiales; Hyaloscyphaceae
Description: sequence contains ITS2
Source: RNAcentral